GAUGAACGCUGGCGGCGUGCCUAAUACAUGCAAGUCGAGCGGUAAGGCCUCUUCGGAGGUACACGAGCGGCGGACGGCUGAGUAACGCGUAGGAACAUACCCCAAAGUGAGGGAUAAGCACUGGAAACAGUGUCUAAUACCGCAUGUGAUCUUCGGAUUAAAGCUACGGCGCUUUGGGAAUGGCCUGCGUAAGAUUAGCUUGUUGGUGAGGUAAUGGCUCACCAAGGCGACGAUCUUUAGCUGGUCUGAGAGGAUGAUCAGCCAGACUGGGACUGAGACACGGCCCAGACUCCUACGGGAGGCAGCAGUAGGGAAUGUUCCACAAUGGGGGCAACCCUGAUGGAGCAACGCCGCGUGCAGGAUGAAUGCCUUCGGGUUGUAAACUGCUUUUAUAUGUGACGAAUAUGACGGUAGCAUAUGAAUAAGGAUCGGCUAACUCCGUGCCAGCCGCCGCGGUAA
Molecule: ribosomal RNA, 459 nt
Filed under: uncultured bacterium
Lineage: Bacteria
Description: partial 16S ribosomal RNA
Rfam family: Bacterial small subunit ribosomal RNA
Source: RNAcentral